AUGGCUCUCUCUGACCUCAAGUUCGAACAAGGCUUGGCCUUCGAAGCCUACAUCUGGAAGCAAUUUGGUGUUCCAAUCAAUCAUUUCGAGGGUGGCAAACUCAAGGAAUUCUUCCUGGUGGCUGCGGUGACUCGAUCUAAACUUUGUAUCAAUGCUGAUUCGUUUGGGGUUUUCCUUUGGGGCAAUGGUGGACCGGAUUCUCACAAAGAGUUCCGGCUGUAUCAGCAAGAACUUGACGAGGAAUGGACUGUGGUGAACCGUUCUGGUGAUCGUAGGUCCUAUUUUGAAGCAGUUCAAACUCCAAGGUUCUUUCCUGGCCACAAUUCCACCGUUCGUUCUCCGGUUAGAUCUCUGGUCAGAUCCCCGGCCCGAUCACCGGUCAGAUCUGUUGCUGCUCGUCCUCUUUCAGUUUCUGAGCGCCUAACUCAAACAGCGGCUUCAUUACACCCGGCCUCUUUACACACCAUAUUAACUGCGCCCAAUAAUGUGGCCCUCGGAGGGGCGGGACUUACGGGUAUACAAAAUUCUGGGCCAGCCCAAGUUACUAGGGAGCCCAACAGCCUUUUCUGUAUUCGCUGUCUUGGUGUGGGUCAUCUUCAGCCCAGUUGCAAGAAUAGAAUCCGCUGCAGAGGAUGCCGCCGCUUGGGUCAUAUCAAGGAUAACUGUAGGUUUGGAGGCGCGAACUCCGAACCGAUGCCUCGCAUUCAAUCGCCUCUCCUGCAGCAGCCACUUUUGGCUAGGGACCGAGACUCCCGUCAAUCGCCACAUUUAAGCCCAUCUGUCAGAGAGGGCAUCAUUUCCCCUGUUCAGUCAAAUCAAGCAAUUACCGUCGGUGCCUACUCGCAUUCUCACCACUCUCCUCCUUCUCUGCAACAACCAGCUCUCCCUUCGAGGGUCUUGACUAACGCGGCUACUCUCCUCUCGCCGGCGAUGGCGACCUUCCCAUUCGACCCUGCGCCAUUUCUCCCUGAGGGUUUCCAUGCGAUCGAGGUGGAAGGGAGGCCUGCGCGCCACCGUGUGCUUCAUGGCAAUCUUGUGCCAGCCAACGAAGAUCUUGCCAUUGCAACAAUCAUCCCCAUGCUGCAAGGAGAAGUAAGUUUUCUCAAUGUCCGUGAGAUCCUCCUAGAGUUUCUGCAAUCCAAGCGCAUUGGUGUCUCUGAAGUGACAAAGUGCCCAUUUGGACAAGCUUUUGUGAGGGUUCAUAGCGCGGCCGAUAGAGAUUUUCUAGUGAACAGGGGACCGCAUGCCUACGAUGACAUUCAUAUUGUCUUUCAAAGACAUAAUGAGGGGCUGAAUUGGAAAAACUUCAAUCUGAAUCGAGAUGUCUGGCUCAUGGUGUUCGGUUUCCCUGCUGAUUUAAGGAAUUUUCAUGAGCUAUCUAAUGCUACUGCAAGUUUCGGGCAGUUGAUGGUUUGGGACAGAUUUAAAUCAAGUGAUGCGGCUGUGGCACUGAAAGUUAAAGUUGAAGCUCUCAAAGAUGUUCCUGCAAGCCUGGUGGUUUCUGGUGCCAAGAACUUUAGUGGUCAGUCUUGGACUUGCCCUGUCGUGAUCGUGGAUGAUAUCCCUAUUGGAGUGCCACCGCCUGAUGAAGACCCAGUUCCUGAAGAUGGCAACUCUCACCCAAGGCCACCAGAGCAAUUCCAUCACCCCAAUCAGAAUAAUCUCAUGGUUGGACCAGUUGCUUUCACCUUCUGCAGCCUGAGCAGCAGGCAGCAGCAUCCUGUUGAUGUGGAAAUCCAAGCUGGAGAGUUUCUGGAAUUACAUGACUUAAUGGGACCUCUUGAAGUUCAGGUUGUACAGCCAAAAGAUGAUCACAGUGGGCUCACUUUAUCUUUGGGCCUGCCAAGUGCAAAUGUUAGUUCAGCUGAGUCUGCUAUUGGAGCACCAGGCAUUCCUGAUCUGGAUGAGCUUCUGGCACCCCUACUGCCCAUAGAAGACUUGGCAAUUCCAGAAGCUCAUUUGCCUGCUCUUGAGAAUGAAAUGCUGGUUGCUGAAUCUCUUCCGCAGCCUCAAAUGGAACUACCAGUACCAGAGCCACUUUUGCAACACAUGCUAUUGCCAGUUGAUGUUGCUGCUGCUACUUUCAGUGUUGUAGCUGAAAUUGAUGCUCCUCCUGCUGCUCUCCCCAUUGCAGCAAUAGUUCCAGAUGUUGCUGUUGCACCAUUGCCUGCAGAAGAGGUGCCUGUUGUCGCUACCAAUACUGAUGAUCUUGCUGCCCCUGCUCAGUUGCCUGAGAAAGAGCCCCACUCUCAGGCUCUCCUAUCUCUGGCCAAUAUGGAUGGCCCUGCUGCUGAACAGACUGAAGCUCUCAAUCAAAAUGCAGAAAUCUCCAGUUCCUCUGCAGGUCAGGAUGAUGAGUUUCUCUCAAAGGAGGGGUUGGAGCUUUGGAAGGCUCACUUUGCUCCUGGGGCCUCAACAGAUAAAGUUACCCAGGGUUCUGCAAGUAACCAACCUCUGCCAUUUGCAAUACCUGACAAGUGUCAAAGUGAACAGAUUCUUUGUUGUAAGAAUUCAGAUGAGGAGCCAGAAGUUUCUUCUAAUGUUGUUUCCACACCCCAGGCAUUGCACAGAAGUAACACUCCCCCUCUACCACCUGCCAGCACCUCCCAUGCUCACACCCAAAGGAAGAGAAAAGAUAAGGCUCCCAUGGUGGAAACUGAGGUAAGAAGGAGCUUCAGAUUGAAAGCUUUAAACAAUGGCUUCAGAAGGAAAUCCUGCUCAGACAAAAAUUGUUUCCCCUGUUCUACUGAUCCUCCAGCUAUUACUACUAAGAUUGUAAAUAAUCUUGCUGUCUCCUUUUGCAAGGCUGCUGCAAAGGACUGCUCUGAGGAGAUGCUACAUCAGCCCAAGAAGAAGAAGGAGGCCAAGGCUGCUGCCAAAGGACCAUCCAAGAAGGCUGCUUUCAAGCCUUAA
This 2913-nucleotide ribosomal RNA is filed under the name Triticum aestivum (bread wheat). Its description in RNAcentral is "partial small subunit ribosomal RNA". Lineage: Eukaryota; Viridiplantae; Streptophyta; Magnoliopsida; Poales; Poaceae. The record is from RNAcentral.